Molecule: ribosomal RNA, 301 nt
Filed under: uncultured bacterium
Lineage: Bacteria
Description: partial 16S ribosomal RNA
Rfam family: Bacterial small subunit ribosomal RNA
Source: RNAcentral
CAGUCGCCACGGGAAUACAGAGGGUGCGAGCGUUAAUCGGAUUUACUGGGCGUAAAGCGUGCGUAGGCGGUUAUAUAAGACAGAUGUGAAAUCCCCGGGCUCAACCUGGGAACUGCAUUUGUGACUGUAUAGCUAGAGUACGGCAGAGGGGGAUGGAAUUCCGCGUGUAGCAGUGAAAUGCGUAGAUAUGCGGAGGAACACCGAUGGCGAAGGCAAUCCCCUGGGCCUGUACUGACGCUCAUGCACGAAAGCGUGGGGAGCAAACAGGAUUAGAUACCCGCGUAGUCCCUGUCUCUUAUAA